This is a long non-coding RNA of Solanum verrucosum, 227 nucleotides long. RefSeq lists it as uncharacterized. The transcript has 3 exons. NCBI's taxonomy places the organism in Eukaryota, Viridiplantae, Streptophyta, Magnoliopsida, Solanales, Solanaceae. The record is from RefSeq and is a predicted model, not a curated record.
UGGGGUUCGCACACAAACAUCGUACGAGGACAAUAUAAAGAAAAUUGUUGAUUUUAGUACUGUUGAAGGUUUUUGGGUUUGCUACUGCCACUUGGCUCGUCCAUCAGCAUUGCUCAGCCCAACUUAUUUGCAUCUUUUCAAGGAGGGUAUUCGUCCUUUAUGGAAGGAUGCUGUUAACUCCCAUGGUGGGAAGUGGAUAAUUCGUUUUAAAAAGGCUGUCUCAGGAC